Molecule: long non-coding RNA, 3126 nt
Organism: Lutra lutra (Eurasian river otter)
Lineage: Eukaryota; Metazoa; Chordata; Mammalia; Carnivora; Mustelidae
Exons: 6
Source: RefSeq, a predicted model, not a curated record
UUCAACAAAGAUUCCACAGAGAAAAUAUAGGAAGCUUACAUGAACCAGAGCUGAGUUCCUGUACUUAGUUAUGUGUGAUUCAGGAACAGUUCUGGAGCAAAAAGCAUGAAUUAAACACAGACCCUGCCCUCAAGGAACUUCAAGUCUAAUAGCAGAGGUGAACCAGUGCAUAUCGCUUAUACUCAUGGAAGACCAAGGGAAAAGAAGAAGGAUGUUGAAAGAACAAGAUUAGAAGACCAGCAAUGAUGAAGUUUAAGGAAGAGACACAUGGAUACACCGAUGAUAAAGGGCACAGAAAUUGAGAAUUGAUUUGGCGGUGGCUGCUUAAAUGAGUAGGUCCCUGUACAGAAGGAAACAGCAUCUGGUGCAGUCCCUCUUCAGGGCUGAAGAUCAAGCACGCACUCCACUGGAGACCCUCUGUGAUCCCAGCACUUCCCUGGGCUGGAGCAGGUCACACUCCCUUGGUCUGAUUAACUUUUGGCGAUCCAUCACCAACUGGACUGGAACUUUCUCUGAGCUUAGAAACAGACAUGCUGUCGACAGACGUGCUGUCUACAGACAACACAAGUGACUUCUUUGUACUUCAAAAGCUCUUCUACAUGCUAUCCCUGACUUCUAAUCUUCCUAGGGCACCAUCAGAAGGAAGUCGGUGAAGUGAGGAGAAGAGAUGAAGGACAGAAAUGGUUUCUGCUGCCUAGCAGUAUCAUGAUGUGGCAUAACCAUUCUCUAGGCCUGACACAUGCCUUACGUCUGCUUCCUGGAGAUUCCCAAGCAGCAGUUAUGUUAAUGUGAGCUAUGUCUUCUCUAGCUGACCACCUACUGCUCCCCUCAGCUAUUGAUUCCCUGCAGCCCACCCUUUCUCUUUGCUACCAAUGCCUCUCACUCCUGGACAGCCCAUAUCUUGACCAUGAAAAACACCCAUGUAUUCUUUUGUUCUGAAAAAAAGUGAUGAGUAUUUCAAAAGAGCCACUUCUCCUCUAGGACACCAAGUACACAGGCCUGGUUUCUAUCUAUGUAUGACAUCUUGCUUGGCCACAGGUAAGAGAAGCUUGGCUUCUCUCCUGAGAAGGUAGGCACAGAGCACAGACCACAGACCACAGAGCACAACUCUCCCUUGGACUCUUCAGAAAGGAACUCUUUUAUAUGAUGCAUCGUUAGUAAUGACUGGCGGCCAAUUGUAGUCAAGCCUGCUCUUCAGCUACUCCUCAAGAAGUCCUGUAUAGCUAACCUAGCAGUUCAUGUUAGCAUGUGGGUACUUGGUGUCAUUGUACAUUCUUUUGGCACCUUGAUCCAUCUGAGAGACAGAAACUAAGACUCAUUUCCACAUUUAUAUGGAUUGAACAUACCCAGAUAUUUAAGGAUAUGUAAACACUGGAUGUUUAUUUAACAAAUGUUAUCAGUAGUUAUCACUAGCAAGUAGAAUUACAUUGAGUGUUGCUUUCUUUUCUUGUGUCUUUUUACUUACCUAUAUUUUCUCUUUUUUUUCGUAACAUACAUAUAUUAUUUAUAUAUUUUUUAAUUCUCUUGUAAAUCUUAAAAUACAGGUAUUUCCUGGUGAUGGGGAAAAACAUCCCUAAAGAUUGUAUACAAAUUUUAUGCUGAAAGAAAAAUGAUGUACAAAAUGAAUAAUGUAAACACAUCUCCUCACUUGCCCCCCCAACUACUAAGGAUUUAUAGUCUGGUUAGAGUUACAUAUAUGUUAAAUGUUCACAGCUCUACAUUUGUCUCUAAAAUGCAGACUGGCAACUAGAUGGAUGUUUAAUAAGAAAGUAUGCACAAAACCCCACCUGGAUUUCAAGACAGUAUAAUUUUAUUUCCUUUCUAUUUUCUGCUCAAUGUCUUUGGCUGAUAGCCGUGCAAUAAAAUCUUUCUUAAAUCUGUUUGGUGGUCAUAUUUUAAGAGCUAGUUUUAUAUACUAGUAUAUAUACUAGUAUAUACUAAAGAAUCAUAUUUUUAUGGUAUCUUCUGCCAUGAUUGAGAGUUUUUCUCAUCAGCAAUAAGCUCAGGUACAAAAUAUUUAAAUCACUGUUCUAAAUAAGUGACUUACAAAUUAUUUUAUCCUUUCAUCCAUCCAUCCAUCCAUCCAUCCAAUUAUCCAUUUAUUUCCCUAAUAUUUAUAGAGUGACCAGGCCCUGUGACAAGUGUAAAGUGCAAUACAUACUUAUAUAAAUCAUGGUUUCUUGUCCCAAAGAACUUAUUUCUUAUAGAAAAAGAAGACCUAGAGUAGAAGGAAUUCAAUACACAGAUAAAUACUUUAUCAAUGUAAGAUUAUAGAACAAUGAUAUACUUUGAGCUGUGGUCAAAGAUUUAGAAGAAUAAAAGUGACAAUCUUUCCAACAAAGAAUCACAUUUUUUAUGGGUUUUUUUUUUUUGAAAAUUGUAUAUUGUUAUGGCUUUAUGGGAACUUUAUAGCUGGUGUUGGCAACCUAUUUUCAUUUAAUGCUUCUGGUUUUUUAAUGUAUAAUAUUAAAAAUAAAGGAUAUCUUAUCAAUAAUUAUGUAUUAUAAGCUGAACUGUGGUCCCCAAAAUUCAUAUGUUGAAGUCCUAACCCUCAGUACCUCAGAAUGUGACUGUAAUUGGACAUAGGGCCUUUAAAAGGAUAAGGGUAAAAGAGGUCAUAUAGGUAAACCCUAAUGCAAUCUGCUUGACUGGUAUCCUUAUAAAAAGAGAACACUGAAAGAUACAAAAAGAUGUUAGGAAUACCCAUGCACAGAGAAAAGUUCAUGUGUAUAUGAGGUCCUAAAGAGAAGGCAGCCAUCCACAAGCGAAAAACAUGUAUUUCAGGAGAAACCAUAUCUUGCUGAUACCCUAGUCUUAGAAUUUUAGCCUCUGGACUGCCCCAGUCUGUGGUAUCUUUUUAUGGAAGCCACAGCAAACUAAUAUAGUAUCUGAUCAUAAAAAAUAGAGUUAAUAACAAAAUUUCCAUAAACAUUUAUUUGUGAUUAAUAAAGAAAUAUUAUCAUAAUGAUUCUGGUCUUCUUUUCAUAAAAAGAAGUAAGCUGACAGUGGACUGCCCAUGUUGUAAUGAACAACCUAAUGACAAUAUGACAAGAGUAAUGAAAGACGAGCACAACUCUGCCAGCAUUUACCAGAUGUCAUUCUUACUGCACUUGAGGCCAUUCUUUU